UCGUAACAAGGUCUCCGUUGGUGAACCAGCGGAGGGAUCAUUACCGAGUUAUACAACUCCCAAACCCACUGUGAACCUUACCUCAGUUGCCUCGGCGGGAACGCCCCGGCCGCCUGCCCCCGCGCCGGCGCCGGACCCAGGCGCCCGCCGCAGGGACCCCAAACUCUCUUGCAUUACGCCCAGCGGGCGGAAUUUCUUCUCUGAGUUGCACAAGCAAAAACAAAUGAAUCAAAACUUUCAACAACGGAUCUCUUGGUUCUGGCAUCGAUGAAGAACGCAGCGAAAUGCGAUAAGUAAUGUGAAUUGCAGAAUUCAGUGAAUCAUCGAAUCUUUGAACGCACAUUGCGCCCGCCAGCAUUCUGGCGGGCAUGCCUGUUCGAGCGUCAUUUCAACCCUCGAGCCCCCCCGGGGGCCUCGGUGUUGGGGGACGGCACACCAGCCGCCCCCGAAAUGCAGUGGCGACCCCGCCGCAGCCUCCCCUGCGUAGUAGCACACACCUCGCACCGGAGCGCGGAGGCGGUCACGCCGUAAAACGCCCAACUUUCUUAGAGUUGACCUCGGAUCAGGUAGGAAUACCCGCUGAACUUAAGCAUAUCAAUAA
This 601-nucleotide unclassified non-coding RNA is filed under the name Purpureocillium lilacinum. RNAcentral describes it as "sequence contains 18S rRNA gene, ITS1, 5.8S rRNA gene, ITS2, 28S rRNA gene". The stretch from base 233 to 386 matches the Rfam family "5.8S ribosomal RNA". Lineage: Eukaryota; Fungi; Ascomycota; Sordariomycetes; Hypocreales; Ophiocordycipitaceae. The record is from RNAcentral.